Molecule: ribosomal RNA, 252 nt
Filed under: uncultured bacterium
Lineage: Bacteria
Description: partial 16S ribosomal RNA
Rfam family: Bacterial small subunit ribosomal RNA
Source: RNAcentral
UACGUAGGGGGCUAGCGUUGUCCGGAAUCACUGGGCGUAAAGGGUACGCAGGCGGAAUUGUAGGUCAUAUGUAAAAGGCAGUGGCUUAACUACUGUAAGCUUUUGAAACUAGAUAUCUUGAGAAGAGUAGAGGUAAGUGGAAUUUCUAGUGUAGCGGUGAAAUGCGUAGACAUUAGGAAGAAUACCGGUGGCGAAGGCGACUUACUGGGCUCAAACUGACGCUGAGGAACGAAAGCGUGGGUAGCAAACAGG